Molecule: transfer RNA, 76 nt
Filed under: Escherichia coli
Lineage: Bacteria; Pseudomonadati; Pseudomonadota; Gammaproteobacteria; Enterobacterales; Enterobacteriaceae
Also listed under: 2 other names
Description: tRNA-Val
Rfam family: tRNA
About the family: Transfer RNA (tRNA) molecules are approximately 80 nucleotides in length. Their secondary structure includes four short double-helical elements and three loops (D, anti-codon, and T loops).
Source: RNAcentral
GGGUGACUAGCUCAGCUGGGAGAGCACCUCCCUUACAAGGAGGGGGUCGGCGGUUCGAUCCCGUCAUCACCCACCA